This 489-nucleotide ribosomal RNA is filed under the name Escherichia coli. RNAcentral's name for it is "bacterial SSU rRNA". It matches the Rfam family "Bacterial small subunit ribosomal RNA", at positions 1056 to 1533 of the family's 1533-position model. The record is from RNAcentral. Lineage: Bacteria; Pseudomonadati; Pseudomonadota; Gammaproteobacteria; Enterobacterales; Enterobacteriaceae.
CAGCUCGUGUUGUGAAAUGUUGGGUUAAGUCCCGCAACGAGCGCAACCCUUAUCCUUUGUUGCCAGCGGUCCGGCCGGGAACUCAAAGGAGACUGCCAGUGAUAAACUGGAGGAAGGUGGGGAUGACGUCAAGUCAUCAUGGCCCUUACGACCAGGGCUACACACGUGCUACAAUGGCGCAUACAAAGAGAAGCGACCUCGCGAGAGCAAGCGGACCUCAUAAAGUGCGUCGUAGUCCGGAUUGGAGUCUGCAACUCGACUCCAUGAAGUCGGAAUCGCUAGUAAUCGUGGAUCAGAAUGCCACGGUGAAUACGUUCCCGGGCCUUGUACACACCGCCCGUCACACCAUGGGAGUGGGUUGCAAAAGAAGUAGGUAGCUUAACCUUCGGGAGGGCGCUUACCACUUUGUGAUUCAUGACUGGGGUGAAGUCGUAACAAGGUAACCGUAGGGGAACCUGCGGUUGGAUCACCUCCUUACCUUAAAGAAGC